AGGACGAACGCUGGCGGCGUGCUUAACACAUGCAAGUCGAGCGGAAAGGCCCUUCGGGGUACUCGAGCGGCGAACGGGUGAGUAACACGUGAGCAACCUGCCCCUGGCUCUGGGAUAGCCUCCGGAAACGGGGAUUAAUACCGGAUAUUCACUGCUUCCUGCAUGGGGGGUGGUGGAAAGUUUUUCGGCUAGGGCGGGGCUCGCGGCCUAUCAGCUUGGUUGGGGGGGUGACGGCCCACCAAGGCGACGACGGGUAG
RNAcentral lists this ribosomal RNA (257 nucleotides) under uncultured bacterium. RNAcentral's name for it is "partial small subunit ribosomal RNA". It matches the Rfam family "Bacterial small subunit ribosomal RNA", at positions 26 to 286 of the family's 1533-position model. The record is from RNAcentral.